UACGAAGGGUGCAAACGUUGCUCGGAAUUAUUGGGCGUAAAGCGCGUGUAGGCGGCUUUGCAAGUCGGGUGUGAAAUCCCUCGGCUCAACCGAGGAAGUGCGCCCGAAACUGCAGAGCUUGAGUACUGGAGAGGAUGGUGGAAUUCCCCAAGUAGAGGUGAAAUUCGUAGAUAUGGGGAGGAACACCGGUGGCGAAGGCGACCAUCUGGACAGAUACUGACGCUGAGGUGCGAAAGCGUGGGGAGCAAACAGG
RNAcentral lists this ribosomal RNA (253 nucleotides) under uncultured bacterium. RNAcentral's name for it is "partial 16S ribosomal RNA". It matches the Rfam family "Bacterial small subunit ribosomal RNA", at positions 524 to 776 of the family's 1533-position model. The record is from RNAcentral.